RNAcentral lists this ribosomal RNA (484 nucleotides) under uncultured bacterium. Its description in RNAcentral is "partial 16S ribosomal RNA". It matches the Rfam family "Bacterial small subunit ribosomal RNA", at positions 30 to 507 of the family's 1533-position model. The record is from RNAcentral.
AUUGAACGCUGGCGGCAGGCCUAACACAUGCAAGUCGAGCGGAUGAAGGGAGCUUGCUCCUGGAUUCAGCGGCGGACGGGUGAGUAAUGCCUAGGAAUCUGCCUGGUAGUGGGGGAUAACGUCCGGAAACGGGCGCUAAUAUCGCAUACGUCCUGAGGGAGAAAGUGGGGGAUCUUCGGACCUCACGCUAUCAGAUGAGCCUAGGUCGGAUUAGCUAGUUGGUGGGGUAAAGGCCUACCAAGGCGACGAUCCGUAACUGAUCUGAGAGGAUGAUCAGUCACACUGGAACUGAGACACGGUCCAGACUCCUACGGGAGGCAGCAGUAGGGAAUAUUGGGCAAUGGGCGAAAGCCUGAUCCAGCCAUGCCGCGUGUGUGAAGAAGGUCUUCGGAUUGUAAAGCACUUUAAGUUGGGAAGAAGGACAGUAAGUUAAUACCUUGCUGUUUUGACGUUACCAACAGAAAAAGCACCGGCUAACUUCGUG